AUGAGUAUUCUAAGGCGCUUGAGAGAACUCAGGAGAAGGAACUCGGCAAAUUGACACCGUAACUUCGGAAGAAGGUGUGCCCUAUUAGUGUGUAGUGAACAACGAAGCAUGAAUGGGUUGCAAAAAAUCGGUGGCUGCGACUGUUUAUUAAAAACACAGCACUCUGCAAACACGAAAGUGGACGUAUAGGGUGUGACGCCUGCCCGGUGCUGGAAGAUUAAAUGAUGGGGUGCAAGCUCUUGAUUGAAGUCCCAGUAAACGGCGGCCGUAACGAUAACGGUCCUAAGGUAGCGAAAUUCCUUGUCGGGUAAGUUCCGACCUGCACGAAUGGCGUAACGAUGGCCACACUGUCUCCUCCUGAGACUCAGCGAAGUUGAAAUGUUUGUGAUGAUGCAAUCUCCCCGCGGAAAGACGGAAAGACCCCAUGAACCUUUACUGUAGCUUUGUAUUGGACUUUGAACAGAUCUGUGUAGGAUAGGUGGGAGGCUUUGAAGCAGGGUCGCUAGAUCUUGUGGAGCCAACGUUGAAAUACCACCCUGGUGUGUUUGAGGUUCUAACCUAGGUCCAUUAUCUGGAUCGGGGACAGUGCAUGGUAGGCAGUUUGACUGGGGCGGUCUCCUCCCAAAGCGUAACGGAGGAGUUCGAAGGUACGCUAGUUACGGUCGGACAUCGUGACGAUAGUGCAAUGGCAUAAGCGUGCUUAACUGCGAGACUGACAAGUCGAGCAGAUGCGAAAGCAGGACAUAGUGAUCCGGUGGUUCUGUAUGGAAGGGCCAUCGCUCAACGGAUAAAAGGUACUCUGGGGAUAACAGGCUGAUACCGCCCAAGAGUUCAUAUCGACGGCGGUGUUUGGCACCUCGAUGUCGGCUCAUCUCAUCCUGGGGCUGUAGCCGGUCCCAAGGGUAUGGCUGUUCGCCAUUUAAAGAGGUACGUGAGCUGGGUUUAAAACGUCGUGAGACAGUUUGGUCCCUAUCUUCCGUGGGCGCUGCAGAUUUGAGGAAGCCUGCUCCUAGUACGAGAGGACCGGAGUGGACACACCUCUGGUGUAUCGGUUGUCACGCCAGUGGCAUUGCCGAGUAGCUAAGUGUGGAAGAGAUAACCGCUGAAAGCAUCUAAGCGGGAAACUCGUUUCAAGAUGAGAUCUGCCGGGGCCUUGAGCCCCCUAAAGAGUCGUUCAAGACCAGGACGUUGAUAGGUCAGGUGUGGAAGCGAAAAAAAAA
RNAcentral lists this ribosomal RNA (1220 nucleotides) under metagenome. RNAcentral's name for it is "bacterial LSU rRNA". It matches the Rfam family "Bacterial large subunit ribosomal RNA", at positions 1672 to 2884 of the family's 2925-position model. The record is from RNAcentral.